This 253-nucleotide ribosomal RNA is filed under the name uncultured bacterium. RNAcentral describes it as "partial 16S ribosomal RNA". It matches the Rfam family "Bacterial small subunit ribosomal RNA", at positions 524 to 776 of the family's 1533-position model. The record is from RNAcentral.
UACGUAGGGUGCAAGCGUUAAUCGGAAUUACUGGGCGUAAAGCGUGCGCAGGCGGUCCGUUAAGACAGGUGUGAAAUCCCCGGGCUUAACCUGGGAACUGCGUUUGAAACUACAAGGCUAGAGUGUGGCAGAGGGGGGUGGAAUUCCACGUGUAGCAGUGAAAUGCGUAGAGAUGUGGAGGAACACCGAUGGCGAAGGCAGCCCCCUGGGUUAACACUGACGCUCAGGCACGAAAGCGUGGGGAGCAAACAGG